RNAcentral lists this ribosomal RNA (450 nucleotides) under uncultured bacterium. Its description in RNAcentral is "partial 16S ribosomal RNA". It matches the Rfam family "Bacterial small subunit ribosomal RNA", at positions 354 to 796 of the family's 1533-position model. The record is from RNAcentral.
GUGGGGAAUAUUGGACAAUGGGCGAAAGCCUGAUCCAGCCAUGCCGCGUGUGUGAAGAAGGUCUUCGGAUUGUAAAGCACUUUAAGUUGGGAGGAAGGGCAGUAAGUUAAUACCUUGCUGUUUUGACGUUACCGACAGAAUAAGCACCGGCUAACUUCGUGCCAGCAGCCGCGGUAAUACGAAGGGUGCAAGCGUUAAUCGGAAUUACUGGGCGUAAAGCGCGAGUAGGUGGUUUUGUAAGUUGGAGGUGAAAUCCCCGGGCUCAACCUGGGAACUGCCUCCAAAACUGCAUGACUAGAGUACGGUAGAGGGUAGUCGAAUUUCCUGUGUAGCGGUGAAAUGCGUAGAUAUAGGAAGGAACACCAGUGGCGAAGGCGACUACCUGGACUGAUACUGACACUGAGGUGCGAAAGCGUGGGGAGCAAACAGGAUUAGAAACCCGUGUAGUCC